Oncorhynchus tshawytscha (Chinook salmon) is the source of this 1142-nucleotide long non-coding RNA. RefSeq lists it as uncharacterized. The record is from RefSeq and is a predicted model, not a curated record. The transcript has 3 exons. NCBI's taxonomy places the organism in Eukaryota, Metazoa, Chordata, Actinopteri, Salmoniformes, Salmonidae.
UUAAAUAAAAAAAUACUGUAUGUGGGAAUGUCUUAUGUCUGUCCUACAUGUAGUGUUGGUACAUGAAAUAUUCCUCAACUAUAUAUAUCAUAAAUUGCUAUUACAAAUAGAAGUAUUAUGUUCAACAACUGACAUUUUCAGAUAUUAUUUUAACAAACACACUUUGAUGCUUACAAUUCAUUCUCUAUUGUCAUAGAUUUGGUGGGCACUGUCAUCUGUGAUCUUUGUGAUAUGACUUUCAUUAAGCACGUACUGAUGAAACUGUCACUUAAUAUGUUUUCUUAAAGUCCACAAACGCUCUACAUUUAUUCACUCUGUGAUAGGGUUGGAUCCUAUAUGCUACUUUUAUUAUUGUCAUGUAAAUGGUUCAGUGCCUAUAAUUUAGGCUGUGUGUAGAAUGGGGCAUGAAGGAAAUGACCUCUACUAAUAAAUUACUACUAGAUUAUAGUGAUAAGGAAAACAGCAUACACAUUUGGCUUGUGUAUUCAUUUGCCUAAAACUAAUCACAAUUCCAUUAUGUUUACAUAAAACAGAGAAUACUUCAAAAUGAGAAGAUCCUGCCAUGGAAAAGACGACUGGGUGGACAUAAAGUGGAAAGGAGGGGAAAUAACUCCCACCAUGCAGCAGGACACCUUCAGCUGGGGUCUUUAUAAUACAGGUUUGACAGUUAUAUUUUUAAUACUGAAUAGUUAGCUGUUAUGUGACAAUUAGGUCAACAACUCUAUUUUAUUUUUUGGCAAGGAAGUUGCACAGAACUUCCCCAACAUCCUCUCCCAAAUUGAUAUAGAACCUUCAAAAACACAUGGAGCAACUGUGAAAAGAAAUGGCUGAGGAUGUACUAAAAAUGUCUGAGUUCAACAAAGCCAACAACUGCUUCAUGUGUGCCACUGAUAAAGAACCUGGAUGUGGCCCAAAGACUGACUGGGAAUGAAGACAAAAGAGUUCAACAGAGUAAAGAACACAAACUGGAAGUACAGUCUUUGUUGUUGAUAAUGUAUACUAUACCCCAUGCACACUGAAGAGGCUCUGAAAUGUACAUCAACCAGGGAUAAAGAGAAAGUUAACUGAAAUGUUUCAUACUUAAUUGAAGUUGUGUCUGUUUGACAUGUUGGAAAGAUUAAAGGUCUACAAUUUCUGUUUAA